RNAcentral lists this ribosomal RNA (495 nucleotides) under uncultured microorganism. Its description in RNAcentral is "bacterial SSU rRNA". It matches the Rfam family "Bacterial small subunit ribosomal RNA", at positions 9 to 486 of the family's 1533-position model. The record is from RNAcentral.
GAGUUUGAUCGUGGCUCAGGAUGAACGCUGGCGGCGUGCCUAAUACAUGCAAGUAGAACGCUGAAGCUUGGUGCUUGCACCGAGCGGAUGAGUUGCGAACGGGUGAGUAACGCGUAGGUAACCUGCCUGGGUAGCGGGGGAUAACUAUUGGAAACGAUAGCUAAUACCGCAUAACAGUAGAUAUUGCAUGAUAUCUGCUUGAAAGGUGCAAUUGCAUCACUACCAGAUGGACCUGCGUUGUAUUAGCUAGUUGGUGAGGUAACGGCUCACCAAGGCGACGAUACAUAGCCGACCUGAGAGGGUGAUCGGCCACACUGGGACUGAGACACGGCCCAGACUCCUACGGGAGGCAGCAGUAGGGAAUCUUCGGCAAUGGGGGAACCCUGACCGAGCAACGCCGCGUGAGUGAAGAAGGUUUUCGGAUCGUAAAGCUCUGUUGUAAGAGAAGAACGAGUGUGAGAGUGGAAAGUUCACACUGUGACGGUAUCUUACCAG